AGUGAACGCUGGCGGUAGGCCUAACACAUGCAAGUCGAACGGCAGCACAGUAAGAGCUUGCUCUUACGGGUGGCGAGUGGCGGACGGGUGAGGAAUACAUCGGAAUCUACUUUUUUGUGGGGGAUAACGUAGGGAAACUUACGCUCAUACCGCAUACGACCUACGGGUGAAAGCAGGGGAUCUUCGGACCUUGCGCGAUUGAAUGAGCCGAUGUCGGAUUAGCUAGUUGGCGGGGUAAAGGCCCACCCAGGCGACGAUACGUAGCUGGUCUGAGAGGAUGAGCAGCCACACUGGGACUGAGACACGGUCCAGACUCCUACAGGAGGCAGCAGUGGGGAAUAUUGGACAAUGGGCGCAAGCCUGAUCCAGCCAUACCGCGUGGGUGAAGAAGGCCUUCGGGUUGUAAAGCCCUUUUGUUGGGAAAGAAAAGCAGCAGGUUAAUACCCCGCUGUUCUGACGGUACCCAAAGAAUGAGCACCGGCUAACUUCGUG
This 492-nucleotide ribosomal RNA is filed under the name uncultured bacterium. RNAcentral's name for it is "partial 16S ribosomal RNA". It matches the Rfam family "Bacterial small subunit ribosomal RNA", at positions 29 to 507 of the family's 1533-position model. The record is from RNAcentral.